UAAUACGGAGGAUGCAAGCGUUAUCCGGAUUCACUGGGUUUAAAGGGUGCGCAGGCGGACAUUUAAGUCAGGGGUGAAAUCCUACAGCUUAACUGUAGAACUGCCCUUGAUACUGAAUGCCUAGAGUAAAGUUGAAGUGGGCGGAAUGUGUUGUGUAGCGGUGAAAUGCUUAGAUAUGACACAGAACACCGAUCGCGAAGGCAGCUAGCUAAGCUAUAACUGACGCUCAUGCACGAAAGCGUGGGGAUCAAACAGGAUUAGAUACCCUGGUAGUCCACGCUGUGAACGAUGAUUACUCGAUGUUGGCGAUACACAGUCAGCGUCUGAGCGAAAGCAAUAAGUAAUCCACCUGGGGAGUACGAUCGCAAGAUUGAAACUCAAAGGAAUUGACGGGGGCCCGCACAAGCGGAGGAGCAUGUGGUUUAAUUCGAUGAUACGCGAGGAACCUUACCUGGGCUCGAACGUAAGAUGACUGUAGGUGAAAGCUUACAUCUCUUCGGAGCAUUUUACGAGGUGCUGCAUGGUUGUCGUCAGCUCGUGCCGUGAGGUGUCGGGUUAAGUCCCAUAACGAGCGCAACCCCUACCUUUAGUUGCCAUCAGGUCAUGCUGGGGACUCUAAAGGAACUGCCUACGCAAGUAGUGAGGAAGGCGGGGAUGACGUCAAAUCAGCACGGCCCUUACGUCCAGGGCUACACACGUGCUACAAUGGCCGAUACAGAGGGCAGCUACCUGGUGACAGGAUGCAAAUCUCCAAAGUCGGUCUCAGUUCGGAUCGGAGUCUGCAACCCGACUCCGUGAAGUUGGAUUCGCUAGUAAUCGCGCAUCAGCCAUGGCGCGGUGAAUACGUUCCCGGGCCUUGUACACACCGCCCGUCAAGCCAUGGAAGCUGGGGGGACCUAAAGUCGAUAACCGCAAGGAGUCGCCUAGGGUAAAACCAGUGACUGGGGCU
RNAcentral lists this ribosomal RNA (949 nucleotides) under uncultured bacterium. Its description in RNAcentral is "bacterial SSU rRNA". It matches the Rfam family "Bacterial small subunit ribosomal RNA", at positions 521 to 1482 of the family's 1533-position model. The record is from RNAcentral.